Molecule: unclassified non-coding RNA, 376 nt
Filed under: soil metagenome
Description: partial contains 5.8S ribosomal RNA, internal transcribed spacer 2, and large subunit ribosomal RNA
Rfam family: 5.8S ribosomal RNA (bases 1-120)
Source: RNAcentral
GAUGAAGAACGCAGCGAAAUGCGAUAAGUAAUGUGAAUUGCAGAAUUCAGUGAAUCAUCGAAUCUUUGAACGCAUCUUGCGCUCCUUGGUAUUCUGAGGAGCAUGCCUGUUUGAGUGUCAUUAAAUUCUCAACUACACUGACUUUGAAUUGGUGUGGCUUGGAUUUGGGGGGAAAAUUGUUGUGGGCUUUUUGUAUAGUCUGCUCCCCUGAAAUUGAUUAGCGGUACCUUUGUGGAACUGUCUACAGGUGUGAUAAUUAUCUACAUCUUAGACAUCUGCUGGAAUGCUGCUCUCUAAACCUUACUUGUAUUGACAAUCUUGACCUCAAAUCAGGUAGGACUACCCGCUGAACUUAAGCAUAUCAAUAAGCGGAGGU